Cavia porcellus (domestic guinea pig) is the source of this 1645-nucleotide long non-coding RNA. RefSeq lists it as uncharacterized. Lineage: Eukaryota; Metazoa; Chordata; Mammalia; Rodentia; Caviidae. The record is from RefSeq and is a predicted model, not a curated record. The transcript has 2 exons.
GCAGACCUGCAAUUGAGGAGCCGGCUUUUCUGGAAGCAGCUGGAAUCCUGUACGUGAUCUGGUUCAUCUUUGGGAAGGAGGGACUUUUCCUCUCUGUCUGGUUUAUCUUUGGCACAGCUUGCCUGAAAGCUGGGGGCGGAUUCCUCCGAGGACCAUUCUGUUCAGGAGGGGGAAGAAGCACAGAGAGGGGUUGCCAUGACGAUGGAAUGAAUCAACCUGUUUACUGCAGUUCCCAGGGACACAGAGACACUGCAGGACCUGGCCACAUCUCAGUUCCCUACGGAGGGAGGACAGGGCUGGGACGCUGGGCGCAGGGCUGUGAGUCCAGUGCCUGCCCACGGAAACCUCUUGGGACCUGGCUUUUCUUCUCCAGCGGACCCAGUAGCCUUGGCACCAUACUGUGAGUCUCUAAGCUGACCGCACUCUCGAGCCUGUGCUGCCCGCGGGGCCUGGCACUAGAGGAGCUCAGGACCGGGCACUUCAGUGUACUGCUGCCUUUUAAACUAAAGUCACUUGAAAAGCAAGAAGGACACAGUGACCUUGCCCGGCUCCCGAUGGCAGGCGCUGAGGCCUGUGGAAAGGGGUGGAGGCGGGGGCAGCUGACCGCAGCCUGCUCAAGGGCCUCUUCUCCUCCUGGGGGACACUGGCCGCACCCCCUUUCAUACAGGCGUGUGGACACUGCCUCACUCCUGGGGGCUCCUGGGGGUGGGCUCCCGCAUACAGCCCAGGGGGUGAGACUCCCGUUCUCCCCCUGUGCAUCCGUCCCACUGCGGUUUAGUUCCUGGGCCCAGCCAGAGACUCAGAGGGUAGAGAGCAAUAGCCAUGCCUCUGCUCUGCCCUCCGCCAUCUACCUACCUUGGGCCCUGCCUCUGCCCUUGGCAGGAAGUGGGGCUUUUAGACACGAUGCCAGACUGCGCCAGACUCUCCUACGGUCACUUGCUGCUCAUUGAAUGAAACCCACCGCCCCCUAGGCCUGUGUGUGCACCCUUUAAUCAGAACCUCCCGCGAGCCCCAGACCCUUUGCACAGGCUGCUCUCUGUCCCUCUCCUCACCUCCAGUGGCUGAGGGACAUGACGUGCUCAGGGCAGUCGUCUGUGAAGCCUCCGCUCUCGGACACUCUGCCCAUUCUUCCUCUGUAAUGCAGUUUUUAUUUUUGUAUUUUACCAAGACACUGUUUGCAAAUAAAAUUUUAAAAUUGUGCUAAAAGGUUUAUAAAAGCCAAAAAAUAAUUAGCUAUUCUCCUAUGGCCAUAUCCCCCGCCCUUUUCCCAGAGGUAACCCCAUCCUCGUAACUAUUUCUCCAACUUGCUGAAUGUCACGUUUCUUUUUCUCACCCCGAUUCCUAAUUUUACUCCUAUCUAUGGAGUCAUCUGCUAUGGUAGAUGAGCCGUUUAGAUUCCUUUUUGAGGCGGGAUCUUACUGUGUAGUUCAGCCUGGCCUUGAACUCACUCUGUAGUCCAGGCCGGCCAGCAACUCUCCUGCGUCAGCCUCCCAAGUGCUGGGGUGAUGCGCUGCACCACCACACCCGCCGGGGGCUGAGAUCCCUUGUGCCCUCACCUCCCCUUCUCCACGCCCUUCCUCCCUCCUCAGCAUGAUCUAUGUCACAAAAUGUCAGUAAUGCAACGUAAACACUACUUUCUGCUCAA